RNAcentral lists this long non-coding RNA (974 nucleotides) under Citrus x clementina. RNAcentral's name for it is "Citrus clementina (C. clementina) long non-coding RNA (CCLE_LNC005774)". The record is from RNAcentral. Lineage: Eukaryota; Viridiplantae; Streptophyta; Magnoliopsida; Sapindales; Rutaceae.
AAAAAAAAAAAAGAAGAAGAGAGGGUUUCAUGAGUAAUUUUGAGGGGUGUCAAAAGUCUUGCUUAAUUCUACUUGAGGCUUUUUAGAAAUGUCCGAUUGAUGCGCAUAAUACAAUAAUAACAUACGUCUUUGGGCUGCACGGUUUCUGUUCAGCUUCGGUUCAAAUUCUUUGGUUUUACUUCUCUAACUCCUUUUCCAUGUUAUAUCUUCAACAUCACAGGACAAUUUCUUCGAUGGAAAUGUUGUUGUUCUUUUUCAAUUAUUGCAAUUCCCAUAAACAUUUAUGCGAUUUCUACUGUUUUGAUUGCUCUUAAAUGUGUAUUUUUGGUGGUAUAGAUGAUGACAUUUCAUUAAUUUAUUAACUUUUCAGUCCUUAAUAUUUCUUGCUUCAAUACUUAUUUUAUUUUACAAAUCCGUUAUGAGAAAUUUUAUAAUAUAUCAAAAGUAUUACAUCCAUUUAAUACAUGUAUAUGUACAUUAAUUAAAUACAACUAUUAAUUAUAUAAUAAUUUCUAAAAUAAACACAGAUUUCACACAAGUCCGUUUCAAUGAUCACAAAUACUUCAUUAUACAUUUUCUUUUUUCUUUUUCCCCCUCUUCAGUCAACUUUUAGGUAUUGAGAAGCAAGUUGCUGAGUCGACAGAAAUAAUUGGCUUAGUGCAUAUAUUACUUUUAAUUCAAGAAAAUGACAAAGACAAUGUGGGUGUAUGACAACUAGACGAUUCCUUGCCUCCUUCACUCUCUUAGUAAAAAAUUUGAACAUCGAAAUUCGUUGUUUCCUCGUUCGCCAUCCUUGCUGAUUCAACACUCCACUUCUCAGUACUCGUCGUGCUUUAGAUACUUCCACCCUGAACUUAGAACCAGCACCAGCACCAACACUUGCCACUUUAUCUCCUAAUUUGGCCAACCUCGAAACCUUGAUUCCCUCGAUCUAAAUCAGAUGCUCAAAUUAAUUGCUAAACCUUUCCAAAUAA